ACUAAAAUUGCUGAAAAAUAAAUUUAAGAGACUAUUUUAGACCUAUACCCUAAUGGGAGGGAUCAUUUGUGUCAUUUUCUCGAUCAAAAUCCCUAAACCUACCAAAAAAACUGUAACUGCGAAAUUCCAUCGAUCAAAAUCAUUGUUCAAAAUCAUUGCAUACAAAGGAGAAGUGAAUGUGAGUCAAAGUUCGCCAAUCUAAUUUCGUCAACUCACCAAGUCCAGCUUAAUUUCAUGGCGGAUCAAAUCAACAACAACUACGAUGAAGAAGAGUACUCACUCAUGGCCUGCAGUUUUCCCAAAGAUGCAAUGUUGCAGAUACUCUUAAGGCUUCCUGUGAAGUCGCUGCUCCGCUUUAGGUCUGUCUGCAAAUCAUGGUACAAUUUCCUUAAGAGCCCUCAUUUCAUUAAGGUGCACCUCUCCCAUCAAAUUUCUCAUCCUGCUUCUCUGCCCUUAUUGUUUACAACAGAGAGAAUUAUGUCUGCUUCCCUGACCUCUCUUUACUCCAUCUUCAUCCAAUAUAUUUUAGUAACCCAUUGCCUUUACCUUUUGCUAUUGAGGCUAAGGACUGCAAAUUUUGAGUUUUGCUACAAUGGUUUAAUAUAUUUGAUGAAGGAUAUCUAUAUGUCACCAGAAGAUAUCUUGUGGAAUCCUGCUACUCGGAAGUAUAAGUGCAUCAGUGUACCUUCUGAGUGCUCCUGAUAUACUUAUAUAAAACUCGGUUAUGUUCAACAAAGCAAAGACUAUAAACUUUUGAAAGUCCCUUUUGAGCCAUAGAGUAAUGAUGAUGCGUCCAAAAUGGCUUGGGUUUAUACCCUGAGUUCAGGUCCAUGGAAAACUGUACCGUUCACCCUUCUUAGCCUAACUGUUGCAUGGGGACCUCAAAUUUCGCUGGAUGGUUGUGUGUAUUGGCUGGCUACUUCAGCUGUGGAAUUUAUUAUUUGCUUCGAUUUGAUUAAGGACGAAUUCAAACUUGUAGACGUUCCUGAUGAUCGUGGAUUUGAACGUGAACAUGUUUGAAGAAGGCUUAUGGUUUUAAGGGGAUCUCUUGCCAUGAUGGUCUCCGUUGAGGAUGCUUCUAGGGGUACUGAGGUAUGGGCACUGAUGAAUAAAAGUGGCAUUCAACAAUAAUCUUGGACUAAGAAAUUUAUUAUAGAGCCUUUCUCCAAAGAGGCAAUCCCUUUGGGAAUCUGGAAUGAUGAUAAGCUUCUUGUAGUAGUUUUACAAACUCGUGCUGUCAAGCAAGUCUUCACUUAUGAUCUGGUUACAAAAAAGAUAGACUAUUUUCAUGCGCCAAAGGAAGAAGAGUUUGCUUCGUUUAUGUCAGUGCGUGGGCGCUAUUUCGAGAGCUUGGAACUUGAAGAUGGAUAUGAGAAAUACUAAACAUGAAUGUGGGAGAUACUGAAACAAGUUUGUGACUACUACUAUACUAUAUUAGUAAUAAUUUUCAAUUUUUCUAUUUUCUUUGGAUA
Nicotiana tabacum (common tobacco) is the source of this 1472-nucleotide long non-coding RNA. RefSeq lists it as uncharacterized. The record is from RefSeq and is a predicted model, not a curated record. Lineage: Eukaryota; Viridiplantae; Streptophyta; Magnoliopsida; Solanales; Solanaceae.